RNAcentral lists this ribosomal RNA (544 nucleotides) under uncultured bacterium. Its description in RNAcentral is "partial 16S ribosomal RNA". It matches the Rfam family "Bacterial small subunit ribosomal RNA", at positions 355 to 914 of the family's 1533-position model. The record is from RNAcentral.
UGGGGAAUAUUGCACAAUGGGCGAAAGCCUGAUGCAGCAACGCCGCGUGAGUGAUGAAGGCCUUCGGGUUGUAAAGCUCUGUCUUUUGGGACGAUAAUGACGGUACCAAAGGAGGAAGCCACGGCUAACUACGUGCCAGCAGCCGCGGUAAUACGUAGGUGGCAAGCGUUGUCCGGAUUUACUGGGCGUAAAGGAUGCGUAGGCGGAUUUUUAAGUGAGAUGUGAAAACCCUAAGCUUAACUUGGGGACUGCAUUUCAUACUGGAAAUCUAGAGUGCGGGAGAGGAGAAUGGAAUUCCUAGUGUAGCGGUGAAAUGCGUAGAGAUUAGGAAGAACACCAGUGGCGAAGGCGAUUCUCUGGACCGUAACUGACGCUGAGGCAUGAAAGCGUGGGUAGCAAACAGGAUUAGAUACCCUGGUAGUCCACGCCGUAAACGAUGAGUACUAGGUGUAGGAGGUAUCGACCCCUUCUGUGUCGCAGUUAACACAAUAAGUACUCCGCCUGGGAAGUACGAUCGCAAGAUUAAAAACUCAAAUGAAUUGAC